AUUCCAGCUCCAAUAGCGUAUAUUAAUGUUGUUGCAGUUAAAAAGCUCGUAGUUGGAUUUCUGGUGGGAGUGGCCGGUCCGCCGUAAGGUGUGUACUUGGUUGUCUCCCGUCAUCCUUGUGGGAACUGCUCUGGCAUUAAGUUGUCGGGGUUAGGGAACACAUCGUUUACUGUGAAAAAAUUAGAGUGUUUAAAGCAGGCUUAUGCCGUUGAAUACAUUAGCAUGGAAUAAUAAGAUAGGACUUUGGUACUAUUUUGUUGGUUUUCGGAAAUCGAGUUAAUGAUUAACAGGGACAAUUGGGGGCAUUAGUAUUCAGACGACAGAGGUGAAAUUCUUGGACCGUCUGAAGACUGACUACUGCGAAAGCAUUUGCCAAGAGUGUUUUCAUCA
Molecule: ribosomal RNA, 390 nt
Filed under: Eukaryota sp.
Lineage: Eukaryota
Description: partial small subunit ribosomal RNA
Rfam family: Eukaryotic small subunit ribosomal RNA
Source: RNAcentral